RNAcentral lists this ribosomal RNA (695 nucleotides) under uncultured bacterium. Its description in RNAcentral is "bacterial SSU rRNA". It matches the Rfam family "Bacterial small subunit ribosomal RNA", at positions 8 to 714 of the family's 1533-position model. The record is from RNAcentral.
AGAGUUUGAUCCUGGCUCAGGAUGAACGCUAGCGGCAGGCCUAAUACAUGCAAGGCGAGGGGGUAGCAAUACCACCGUCGUACGGGUGCGUAACACGUAUGCAACCUACCUAUCACAGGGGGAUAGCCUUUGGAAACAAGGAUUAAUACCGCAUAAAGCAGGGGCUUGGCAUCAAGAUACUGCUAAAGAUUUAUCGGUGAUAGAUGGGCAUGCGUCUGAUUAGUUAGAUGGUGAGGUAACGGCUCACCAUGACGAUGAUCAGUAGGGGGCGUCAGAGCGUGGUCCCCCACACUGGCACUGAGAUACGGGCCAGACUCCUACGGGAGGCAGCAGUAGGGAAUAUUGGGCAAUGGGUGGAAGCCUGACCCAGCCAUGCCGCGUGCAGGAAGAAGGUCCUCUGGAUUGUAAACUGCUUUUAUUAGGGGAGAAAAGAUGGGAUGCGUCCUAUUAUGACGGUACCUAAUGAAUAAGCCACGGCUAACUACGUGCCAGCAGCCGCGGUAAUACGUAGGUGGCAAGCGUUGUCCGGAUUUAUUGGGUUUAAAGGGUGCGUAGGUGGUUUUAUAAGUCAGUGGUGAAAUAUGGUUGCUCAACAAUCAAAUUGCCAUUGAUACUGUGAGACUUGAGUGAAGAGGAGGCUGGUGGAAUGGAUGGUGUAGCGGUGAAAUGCAUAGAUAUCAUCCAGAACGUCAAUU